UAACAUGCGCGCGAGUCGUUGGGUCGGACGCGCUCCGCUAAACCCGCAGGCGCAAUGAAAGUGAAGGCUUCCCUUUGCGGGGCCGAGGGAGGACGGAGGCCCCUCCUCGGAGGGCCUCCUGCACUCCCGGGGCGUCUGACCCCUCAUUGCGAGGGGAGGCGCACCCAGAGCGCACACGUUGGGACCCGAAAGAUGGUGAACUAUA
This 205-nucleotide ribosomal RNA is filed under the name Phyllomacromia bifasciata. RNAcentral describes it as "partial 28S ribosomal RNA". It matches the Rfam family "Eukaryotic large subunit ribosomal RNA", at positions 676 to 835 of the family's 3401-position model. The record is from RNAcentral. Lineage: Eukaryota; Metazoa; Arthropoda; Insecta; Odonata; Macromiidae.